This 377-nucleotide ribosomal RNA is filed under the name uncultured bacterium. Its description in RNAcentral is "bacterial SSU rRNA". It matches the Rfam family "Bacterial small subunit ribosomal RNA", at positions 523 to 898 of the family's 1533-position model. The record is from RNAcentral.
AUACGUAGGUGGCAAGCGUUGUCCGGAAUUACUGGGUGUAAAGGGCGUGUAGGCGGGAGAGCAAGUCAGAUGUGAAACCCCAUGGCUUAACUGUGGGACUGCAUCUGAAACUGUUUUUCUUGAGUACUGGAGAGGGAAGUGGAAUUCCUAGUGUAGCGGUGAAAUGCGUAGAGAUUAGGAGGAACACCAGUGGCGAAGGCGGCUUCCUGGACAGAGACUGACGCUGAGGCGCGAAAGCGUGGGGAGCAAACAGGAUUAGAUACCCUGGUAGUCCACGCCGUAAACGAUGGAUACUAGGUGUAGGAGGUAUCGACCCCUUCUGUGCCGGAGUUAACACAAUAAGUAUCCCACCUGGGGAGUACGGCCGCAAGGUUGAA